GGGCUGCUUGCUAUCAGCAAAGUAGAGAGAUUUAACGGAUCUUGCCGAGAAUGCAAGCCUCAUUCCAAGGAAGCCAGAGCUCAGAAGACAUGGAACAAAUACAAUGAAAACAUAACUUGAGGUCGGAAAAUGUCCCCUGAAUAUUUAUGUCAAUGUCCUACCUUAGUGAAUAUUACUUAAUACUGUGGCUCCUUUAAAGCAUUGUGAUUUCAUUAUGAAGUCAGAUGGAAUGAGGAGUGUGUAAAUCCAGAAUCAGAAUCCCAGCGACGAAGCUUUUCUUGCUCUGUUACCUUGGAAAAUGCUUUGAACCAGACCAGAUAAGAAAAGUAAAAGUCUGGAGUGUAAUCCUUCCAAUUGUCUUUUGGCUUCUCUUCUACUUCUACAAAAAGUUCAACAAGUCGGUGGGCAGAAGUCUAAAAUCAAGGUGUCAGCAGUGUGGAAUCCUUCUGGAGGCUUUGAGGUACUCGACUGUGGUUCAAUCUCCAGACCUAGAACAGGAAUAGAAGCAAAGGGAUUUUCAAUAUAAAUAUUAGUUGAAUGGUAUGAAGUAAAA
RNAcentral lists this long non-coding RNA (553 nucleotides) under Homo sapiens (human). RNAcentral describes it as "non-protein coding lnc-DEC1-10:4". The record is from RNAcentral. Lineage: Eukaryota; Metazoa; Chordata; Mammalia; Primates; Hominidae.